Molecule: ribosomal RNA, 168 nt
Filed under: Scutellospora calospora
Lineage: Eukaryota; Fungi; Glomeromycota; Glomeromycetes; Diversisporales; Gigasporaceae
Description: partial large subunit ribosomal RNA
Rfam family: Eukaryotic large subunit ribosomal RNA
Source: RNAcentral
CGGGAAGAGCACAAAUUUUAAAUCUACCUGGUUUUACUAGGUCGAGUUGUAAUUUGAAGAAACGUUUUUAAUGUUCCGGGUUGGUUUAAAUCCUUUGGGAUAAGGUAUCAUGGAGGGUGAGAAUCCCGUGUAUAUCAACCGCUGGGAUGUUAUUAAUACGUUCUCUAA